UAGGGAAAACCUUUGCAAGUUGGGACUAG
Molecule: non-coding RNA, 29 nt
Filed under: Cricetulus griseus (Chinese hamster)
Lineage: Eukaryota; Metazoa; Chordata; Mammalia; Rodentia; Cricetidae
Source: RNAcentral